GAUGAACGCUGGCGGCGUGCCUAAUACAUGCAAGUCGAGCGAACAGACGAGGAGCUUGCUCCUCUGACGUUAGCGGCGGACGGGUGAGUAACACGUGGAUAACCUACCUAUAAGACUGGGAUAACUUCGGGAAACCAGAGCUAAUACCGGAUAAUAUAUUUAACCACAUGGUUCAAUAGUGAAAGACGGUUUUGCUGUCACUUAUGGAUGGAUCCGCGCCGCAUUAGCUAGUUGUUAAGGUAACGGCUUACCAAGGCAACGGUGCGUAGCCGACCUGAGAGGGUGAUCGGCAACCCGGGAACGGGGACACGGUCCAGACUCCUACGGGAGGCAGCAGUAGGGAAUCUUCCGCAAUGGGCGAAAGCCUGACGGAGCAACGCCGCGUGAGGGAUGAAGGUCUUCGGACCGUAAAACUCUGUUAUUAGGGAAGAACAAAUGUGUAAGUAACUAUGCACGUCUUGACGGUACCUAAUCAGAAAGCCACGGCUAACUACGUG
This 497-nucleotide ribosomal RNA is filed under the name uncultured bacterium. RNAcentral describes it as "partial 16S ribosomal RNA". It matches the Rfam family "Bacterial small subunit ribosomal RNA", at positions 28 to 507 of the family's 1533-position model. The record is from RNAcentral.